GACGAACGCUGGCGGCGUGCUUAACACAUGCAAGUCGAACGGAAAGGCCCUGCUUUUGUGGUUUGCUCGAGUGGCGAACGGGUGAGUAACACGUGAGUAACCUUCCCUUGACUUUGUGAUAACUUCAGGAAACUGGUGCUAAUACCGGAUAGGAGCUCCUGCUGCAUGGUGGGGGUUGGAAAGAUUCGGCGGUUGGGGAUGGACUCGCGGCUUAUCAGCUUGUUGGUGGGGUAGUGGCUUACCAAGGCUUUGACGGGUAGCCGGCCUGAGAGGGUGACCGGCCACAUUGGGACUGAGAUACGGCCCAGACUCCUACGGGAGGCAGCAGUGGGGAAUAUUGCACAAUGGGCGGAAGCCUGAUGCAGCAACGCCGCGUGCGGGAUGACGGCCUUCGGGUUGUAAACCGCUUUCGCCUGUGACGAAGCGUGAGUGACGGUAAUGGGUAAAGAAGCACCGGCUAACUACGUG
This 468-nucleotide ribosomal RNA is filed under the name uncultured bacterium. RNAcentral's name for it is "partial 16S ribosomal RNA". It matches the Rfam family "Bacterial small subunit ribosomal RNA", at positions 28 to 507 of the family's 1533-position model. The record is from RNAcentral.